RNAcentral lists this ribosomal RNA (519 nucleotides) under uncultured bacterium. Its description in RNAcentral is "partial 16S ribosomal RNA". It matches the Rfam family "Bacterial small subunit ribosomal RNA", at positions 29 to 523 of the family's 1533-position model. The record is from RNAcentral.
AACGAACGCUGGCGGCGUGCCUAACACAUGCAAGUCGAGCGAGAAAGUUCCUCCGGGAACGAGUAAAGCGGCGCACGGGUGAGUAACACGUAGGUAACCUGCCCCUUAGUCUGGAACAACUAGAGGAAACUCUAGCUAAUGCCGGAUGAGACCACGGUCCCUUCGGGGACUGCGACCAAAGAUGGCCUCUACUUGUAAGCUAUCGCUGAGGGAUGGGCCUGCGGGCCAUUAGCUUGUUGGUGAGGUAACGGCUCACCAAGGCUGUGGUGGCGAGCUGGUCUGAGAGGAUGACCAGCCACACGGGGACUGAGACACGGCCCAGACUCCUACGGGAGGCAGCAGUGGGGAAUAUUGCGCAAUGGGCGAAAGCCUGACGCAGCGACGCCGCGUGGGUGAUGAAGGCCUUCGGGUCGUAAAGCCCUGUCGCAGGGGAAGAAUAAGCAUCGGGAUAAUACCCCGGUGCCCUGACGGUACCCUGCAAGAAAGCACCGGCUAACUCCGUGCCAGCAGCCGCAGUAA